This 468-nucleotide ribosomal RNA is filed under the name uncultured bacterium. Its description in RNAcentral is "partial 16S ribosomal RNA". It matches the Rfam family "Bacterial small subunit ribosomal RNA", at positions 28 to 507 of the family's 1533-position model. The record is from RNAcentral.
GACGAACGCUGGCGGCGUGCUUAACACAUGCAAGUCGAACGGAAAGGCCCUGCUUUUGUUGGGUGCUGGGGUGGCGAACGGGUGAGUAACGCAAGAGUAACCUGCCCUUGACUUUGGGAUAACUUCACGAAACUGGGGCUUAUACCGGAUAGGAGCUCCUGCUGCAUGGUGGUGGUUGGAAAGUUUCGGCGGUUGGGGAUGUAGUCGGGGCUUAUCAGCCUGUUGGUGGGGUAGUGGCUGACCAAGGCUUUGACGGGUAGCCGGCCUGAGCGGGUGACAGGCCACACUGGGACUGAGAUACGGCGCAGACGCCGAGGGGAGGGAGCAGUGGGGAAUAGUGCGAAAUGGGCGGAAGCCGGAUGCAGCAAAGCCGCGUGCGGGAUGACGGCCUUCGGGUUGUAAACCGCGUUCGCCUGGGACGAAGCGUGAGUGACGGUAAUGGGUAAAGAAGCACCGGCUAACUACGUG